This 207-nucleotide ribosomal RNA is filed under the name uncultured bacterium. Its description in RNAcentral is "partial 16S ribosomal RNA". It matches the Rfam family "Bacterial small subunit ribosomal RNA", at positions 524 to 721 of the family's 1533-position model. The record is from RNAcentral.
UACGUAGGGUGCGAGCGUUGUCCGGAAUUAUUGGGCGUAAAAGAGUUCGUAGGCGGUUGUGUCACGUCGGCCGUGGAAAACCUGCAGCUUAACUGUGGGCGUGCGGUCGAUACGGGCAUCACUGGAGUUCGGGCAGGGGAGACUGGAAUUCCUGGUGUAGCGGUGAAAUGCGGCAGAUAUCAGGGAGGGAACACCGGUGGGCGAAGG